GAAUUCGCCCUUAGAGUUUGAUCCUGGCUCAGGACGAACGCUGGCGGCGCGCCUAACACAUGCAAGUCGAACGAGCGAGAGAGAGCUUGCUUUCUCGAGCGAGUGGCGAACGGGUGAGUAACGCGUGAGGAACCUGCCUCAAAGAGGGGGACAACAGUUGGAAACGACUGCUAAUACCGCAUAAGCCCACGGGUCGGCAUCGACCAGAGGGAAAAGGAGCAAUCCGCUUUGAGAUGGCCUCGCGUCCGAUUAGCUGGUUGGUGAGGUAAUGGCCCACCAAGGCAACGAUCGGUAGCCGGACUGAGAGGUUGAACGGCCACAUUGGGACUGAGACACGGCCCAGACUCCUACGGGAGGCAGCAGUGGGGAAUAUUGCACAAUGGGGGAAACCCUGAUGCAGCGACGCCGCGUGGAGGAAGAAGGUCUUCGGAUUGUAAACUCCUGUUGUUGAGGAAGAUAAUGACGGUACUCAACAAGGAAGUGACGGCUAACUACGUGCCAGCAGCCGCGGUAAAACGUAGGUCACAAGCGUUGUCCGGAAUUACUGGGUGUAAAGGGGGCGCAGGCGGGAAGACAAGUUGGAAGUGAAAUCCAUGGGCUCAACCCAUGAACUGCUUUCAAAACUGUUUUUCUUGAGUAGUGCAGAGGUAGGCGGAAUUCCCGGUGUUGCGGUGGAAUGCGUAGAUAUCGGGAGGAACACCAGUGGCGAAGGCGGCCUACUGGGCACCAACUGACGCUGAGGCUCGAAAGUGUGGGUAGCAAACAGGAUUAGAUACCCUGGUAGUCCACACCGUAAACGAUGAUUACUAGGUGUUGGAGGAUUGACCCUUUCAGUGCCGCAGUUAACACAAUAAGUAAUCCACCUGGGGAGUACGACCGCAAGGUUGAAACUCAAAGGAAUUGACGGGGGCCCGCACAAGCAGUGGAGUAUGUGGUUUAAUUCGAUGCAACGCGAAGAACCUUACCUGGGCUUGACAUGUUCCCGACAGCCCCAGAGAUGGGGCCUCCCUUCGGGGCGGGUUCACAGGUGGUGCAUGGUCGUUGUCAGCUCGUGUCGUGAGAUGUUGGGUUAAGUCCCGCAACGAGCGCAACCCUCGCCCCGUGUUGCCAGCACAUGAUGGUGGGAACUCACGGGGGACCGCCGGGGUUAACUCGGAGGAAGGUGGGGAUGACGUCAGAUCAUCAUGCCCCUUACGUCCAGGGCUUCACGCAUGCUACAAUGGCCGGUACAACGGGAUGCGACAUGGCGACAUGGAGCGGAUCCCUGAAAACCGGUCUCAGUUCGGAUUGGAGUUUGCAACCCGACUCCAUGAAGGCGGAGUCGCUAGUAAUCGCGAAUCAGCAACGUCGCGGUGAAUGCGUUCCCGGGCCUUGUACUCACCGCCCGUCA
RNAcentral lists this ribosomal RNA (1390 nucleotides) under uncultured bacterium. Its description in RNAcentral is "bacterial SSU rRNA". It matches the Rfam family "Bacterial small subunit ribosomal RNA". The record is from RNAcentral.